Long non-coding RNA from Eufriesea mexicana, 670 nucleotides. RefSeq lists it as uncharacterized. The record is from RefSeq and is a predicted model, not a curated record. The transcript is spliced from 3 exons. Lineage: Eukaryota; Metazoa; Arthropoda; Insecta; Hymenoptera; Apidae.
CAGAAAUAUUUAUUUCGAUAGAGAAUCGAGUUUGACGAUGGAAAUAAACAUUUAAACCGUACAAAAACAGCAGUGAAUUGGCAGGCAAGAGGCAAAAGCACGACUGUUGGUGAAAAGUAGCGAGUGUAAAUAAGAGAAGGAAGAAGAUAGGUUAGCGACGGAAGAAGAGAGAGGAGCGCCUUCGUGCUCACGCAAGGAACGAGUUAUAGCGACAAAAAAGAAAGAGGAAAAGUAUGUCUCGAGCGAAAAAUUAGAUGCAGCUGGUAAAGGACAAAAGGACGUUCUGCAAAGGAGUGCUGUGCGUGACGAAUGCUAACCUUUUGGCGGAUUUCGAGAGGUACCGUUACAUGAAAAGAGCAAUAUCUUCGCUGCCAUUUGAUUUUAAUCGUACAAAUCCUACGAUGUAUUGCACAUAUGUAUGAAAUAAGAAGGGAGAAAGUCGUCACCCCAUCGCCAGUUGUCAAAAGAAGAAGCAAAUAUCCCGGGUAAUGAACGUCCCUCGAAAAUGAAACAUCGAGGCUGAUUAUAACCCUAACCUCUGGCGUCGACCAGUAUCGAGGAGGCAAUCAUUUAUGGAUUACUGUCGGUUUCUCCUUGUCGAUCGCACGUCUUCAUUAAGCACAAGUUGAAAAGCAUCAGCAAUUGGCAGAAGAGCCUCUUGUCUCUUAUA